CCUACGGGAGGCAGCAGUGGGGAAUAUUGGACAAUGGGCGAAAGCCUGAUCCAGCCAUGCCGCGUGUGUGAAGAAGGCCUUCGGGUUGUAAAGCACUUUCAGUGGGGAAGAAAGCCUUGGGGCUAAUACCCUCGAGGAAGGACAUCACCCACAGAAGAAGCACCGGCUAACUCCGUGCCAGCAGCCGCGGUGAAUACGGAGGGUGCGAGCGUUAAUCGGAAUUACUGGGCGUAAAGCGCGCGUAGGCGGUCUGAUAAGCCGGUUGUGAAAGCCCCGGGCUCAACCUGGGAACGGCAUCCGGAACUGUCAGGCUAGAGUGCAGGAGAGGAAGGUAGAAUUCCCGGUGUAGCGGUGAAAUGCGUAGAGAUCGGGAGGAAUACCAGUGGCGAAGGCGGCCUUCUGGACUGACACUGACGCUGAGGUGCGAAAGCGUGGGUAGCAAACAGGAUUAGAUACCCCAGUAGUC
This 466-nucleotide ribosomal RNA is filed under the name Vreelandella stevensii. RNAcentral's name for it is "partial 16S ribosomal RNA". It matches the Rfam family "Bacterial small subunit ribosomal RNA", at positions 338 to 795 of the family's 1533-position model. Lineage: Bacteria; Pseudomonadati; Pseudomonadota; Gammaproteobacteria; Oceanospirillales; Halomonadaceae. The record is from RNAcentral.